This is an RNA transcript of Etheostoma spectabile (orangethroat darter), 1863 nucleotides long. It is a transcript of the gene named eukaryotic translation initiation factor 3 subunit A-like, with no coding region annotated. The record is from RefSeq and is a predicted model, not a curated record. NCBI's taxonomy places the organism in Eukaryota, Metazoa, Chordata, Actinopteri, Perciformes, Percidae. The transcript is spliced from 7 exons.
UUUAAAAAAGUGGAUCUGUUUUCCAAGACAUUACAACAAAAGAGACAGCAACUUCCGUUUUGAUGCUUUUAAUUUGAUAUCCAAAGGAAGUCACAUGUCAAUUUCAUGACAGGAAGUUGACACAGUUGUUUAUCUUCCGUCAGCGGCGCCGGUGGAGUUGUAGCUAACGGAGGAAUAUAUCCGCCCAGUGCGUUGUUGGAAAGGAGUGACAGUCAAAGGCAAAAGAAGACAGAGAGGGCACCUUUAUCCUGGCUGCACGUGGGAGUGGUCACGCAGCUGGCCCAAGAGGUGCAAUCAGUGUGAGCCACAGGAAGUCAGAGGGAGGAGAGCGACAUGAGGCAGCAGCUGCGUUUCACAGAGGAGAUCUCGAUCUUCGAGAGAGCAGGUCAGGAGAGGAUGGAGGGCGAGGAGGCUCCAAGCCACAGGCCCAGACUGGGCCCAGAACUGAGCUGGACGUACUCUACAAGCUGUCCCACAGACGAGAGCAGGUCAGGAGAGGAUGGAGGGCGAGGAGGCUCCAAGCCACAGGCCCAGACUGGGCCCAGAACUGAGCUGGACGUACUCUACAAGCUGUCCCACAGACGGAGGAGGAGGAGCAGGAGGAGGGGAAAAAGACGCCGACGCCGUACUAGGGGAACAGGAGGAGGAGGAGGAGGAGGAGGAGGAGGAGGAGAGAGGAGGAAGAGGGGCUCCUUCAGACAGACCCAGAGAACCAAAAGUGGCAGAUUGAGACGAUGUCGGCCCGGCGCCUCGCCAAUUCUCUGCCCCGCACCGGACGCAGACUUCACCCCCGUGGCCUCAGACAACACCAAAGCUCUCCUGAGCUGGAGGUGUACACAUAGCACGGCAGGCCCUGGAUGGCAACAUCCUUGCAGAGGCUCCCAAAGGAGAUGGAGGGAGGUUUGCUCCUCAACACGCUGACCUUCAUGUCCUGCGUGGCCUUUAUCCAGAAUGGAGCCUACGUAGACCAUGUGCAUCUUCAAAAUCUUUGCCACCAAAUGGGCCUUGCCGCAGGCCAGACUGCAGCAGCUGCUGAUCCCGGGGAAACUCACCCUGGACAAAGUGAAGAAUGAGGAUUUGGAGGCUGCGUCAGACUGUCCCCUACAAGUUGCAGAAUCAAGCUGCCCUCAUCCCGUCCCUGCCACCGCCACCCACCAAAUUGGAGGACUUUGGCCAGCCCCAGGAAGAGCGGUCUGUUGGAAGAAGAUAUGGGUCUGUUGGAGGCGUUGGAUCUGUCGGUGAAAGUGGAAGAGAAGGGUCUGUCAGACGAAAGUGAAGGAUCUUAUGGUUUGCCAGCUUACCAAGUGCAGGCUAAAGAAACUGUUCAACUGAAAAAAGAUGCACGUUUUAUUUGAAUUAGAGUGACACUGAAUGACCAAAGUAAAUGUUAAAUGUAAGAAAGUAAGUGUAUAAUGCAAUAUGUUAUAACAUAAUAGUUUAUAUAAUGGUAUAUAAUAGUUGUUAUUGCAUGCUGGAUGCUUGGAGUUGCGAUUUUCCCUCCCGUUGUCCUCAGUCCCUGGAAACUGAGCAUUGCACUGACGAGCUUUGUUCUGUAACUGUCUUUGUGAAUGUUUUAAUGUGCCCACAUGAACGCAGUCAGACUGAUAGCUAGUGGGAUUGCUGCGCUAGGUCCUGUCUAGACUCAGAGUCUACGGAAGGCUUUUCAAAGCUGAGCUGAAGUCGGAGGCAAGCACAGCUUGCUUAGGUCUGUAGCUCUCCACCCACAUCACAGAUCUGAUCCCCCUCUGCAUAGGUAAUGCCUAUAAUAAUGAUUGUUAGUAUUGUUGUUGUUAUUAUUAGGUCAAAGUCAUGUUCUUGUCUGUAGACACUUAUUUUGAGAAAAGUAUGUGUUUGCAUUGGUGU